RNAcentral lists this ribosomal RNA (193 nucleotides) under uncultured eukaryote. RNAcentral describes it as "partial 18S ribosomal RNA". It matches the Rfam family "Eukaryotic small subunit ribosomal RNA", at positions 1 to 192 of the family's 1831-position model. The record is from RNAcentral.
UAACCUGGUUGAUCCUGCCAGUUAGUCAUAUGCUUGUCUCAAAGAUUAAGCCAUGCAUGUCUAAGAAUAAGCCUUUGUACGGCGAAUCUGCGAAUGGCUCAUUAAAACAGUUAUAGUUUAUUUGAUAAUCAAUUACUACAUGGAUAACUGUAGUAAUUCUAGAGCUAAUACAUGCGUCAGAACCCGACUUCAC